RNAcentral lists this long non-coding RNA (665 nucleotides) under Homo sapiens (human). RNAcentral's name for it is "non-protein coding LINC02593:34". Lineage: Eukaryota; Metazoa; Chordata; Mammalia; Primates; Hominidae. The record is from RNAcentral.
CCCAGAGCAGGUCCAGGGGUGAGUGGGCCACAGGCCUGUUUGCACAGGUGCCUUCUUCGAGGGAGGGAACAGCCCACCACCACCUCCUGCCAGACCAGCUUCCUUGAGCAUAAACCUGACCCUGGGUGACCACGCUGGGCUCCUUCACCUUAUCUCACCAGAGGCUUCUGCUGGUCCCACAGCCAACCCGCGGAGUGAGGUCUGGGCCAGGAGUGCUCUGCUCAGGCAAGGAACAUGCCCAGAAGCCUCCCCCGCUAUCCUGGCCCUGUUCUGUGGGGGCUCGUUGGACACCAGCACAUCCCUGACCCCAGCUGUGGCUGCCAGUGAGUUCCUGUGCCUUCCUCUCCUGAAGUCUGUGUCUUCUCCCAGGUCUGAUACCAUGUGGAAAGUCUGCUCCUGGGGCCAGCUGGAGGCCAUGUGGACUGGCCCUGAGUGCCCACUGUCUGGAUGCAGCCCUGACCCUACUGCCCGUGUGUGGGCUACUAGGUUCACCUGCACCUGACCCUCCUUCUAGGUUCGCCUGCACCUGACUCCCUGAUGUUCACACAGUGAUUUGGAGAGGGAGGCUGGGGAGGCGCAGGUCUGCAUGGCAGUGCCUCUCAGGGUCUGAGGCCCUUGGGCCAGGCCUCUCCUCUGACCUGGGCCAGCAGAGGGGCCUCCUUUCC